This 253-nucleotide ribosomal RNA is filed under the name uncultured bacterium. RNAcentral's name for it is "partial 16S ribosomal RNA". It matches the Rfam family "Bacterial small subunit ribosomal RNA", at positions 524 to 776 of the family's 1533-position model. The record is from RNAcentral.
UACGUAGGGGGCAAGCGUUGUCCGGAUUUAUUGGGCGUAAAGAGCGUGUAGGCGGCCCGACAGGUCCGUUGUGAAAACUCGAGGCUCAACCUCGAGACGUCGAUGGAAACCGUCGGGCUAGAGUCCGGAAGAGGAGAGUGGAAUUCCUGGUGUAGCGGUGAAAUGCGCAGAUAUCAGGAGGAACACCCGUGGCGAAAGCGGCUCUCUGGGACGGUACUGACGCUGAGACGCGAAAGCGUGGGGAGCGAACAGG